Molecule: ribosomal RNA, 301 nt
Filed under: uncultured bacterium
Lineage: Bacteria
Description: partial 16S ribosomal RNA
Rfam family: Bacterial small subunit ribosomal RNA
Source: RNAcentral
CAGUAGCCACGGGAAUACGGAGGAUCCAAGCGUUAUCCGGAAUCAUUGGGUCUAAAGGGUCCGUAGGCGGUUUAGUAAGUCAGUGGUGAAAGCCCAUCGCUCAACGGUGGAACGGCCAUUGAUACUGCUGAACUUGAAUUAUUAGGAAGUAACUAGAAUAUGUAGUGUAGCGGUGAAAUGCUUAGAGAUUACAUGGAAUACCAAUUGCGAAGGCAGGUUACUACUAAUUGAUUGACGCUGAUGGACGAAAGCGUGGGGAGCGAACAGGAUUAGAUACCCCAGUAGUCCCUGUCUCUUAUAC